Molecule: ribosomal RNA, 468 nt
Filed under: uncultured bacterium
Lineage: Bacteria
Description: partial 16S ribosomal RNA
Rfam family: Bacterial small subunit ribosomal RNA
Source: RNAcentral
GACGAACGCUGGCGGCGUGCUUAACACAUGCAAGUCGAACGGAAAGGCCCUGCUUUUGUGGGGUGCUCGAGUGGCGAACGGGUGAGUAACACGUGAGUAACCUGCCCUUGACUUUGGGAUAACUUCAGGAAACUGGGGCUAAUACCGGAUAGGAGCUCCUGCUGCAUGGUGGGGGUUGGAAAGUUUCGGCGGUUGGGGAUGGACUCGCGGCUUAUCAGCUUGUUGGUGGGGUAGUGGCUUACCAAGGCUUUGACGGGUAGCCGGCCUGAGAGGGUUACCGGCGACAAUGGGACUGAGAUACGGACCAGACUCCUACGGGAGGCAGCAGUGGGGAAUAUUGCACAAUGGGCGGAAGCCUGAUGCAGCAACGCCGCGUGCGGGAUGACGGCCUUCGGGUUGUAAACCGCUUUCGCCUGUGACGAAGCGUGAGUGACGGUAAUGGGUAAAGAAGCACCGGCUAACUACGUG